Molecule: ribosomal RNA, 800 nt
Filed under: uncultured bacterium
Lineage: Bacteria
Description: bacterial SSU rRNA
Rfam family: Bacterial small subunit ribosomal RNA
Source: RNAcentral
CUUGGGCGGCGUGCCUACACAUGGCAAGUUCGAACGGAUUCCAUAUUGAAACCUAGUUGAUGUAUGGAUUCAGUGGCGGACGGGUGAGUAACGCGUGGAUAACCUACCGUAUACAGGGGGAUAACACUUAGAAAUAGGUGCUAAUACCGCAUAAGCGCACGGUUCCGCAUGGAACAGUGUGAAAAACUCCGGUGGUAUACGAUGGAUCCGCGUCUGAUUAGCCAGUUGGCGGGGUAACGGCCCACCAAAGCGACGAUCAGUAGCCGGCCUGAGAGGGUGAACGGCCACAUUGGGACUGAGACACGGCCCAAACUCCUACGGGAGGCAGCAGUGGGGAAUAUUGCACAAUGGGGGAAACCCUGAUGCAGCGACGCCGCGUGAGUGAAGAAGUAUUUCGGUACGUAAAGCUCUAUCAGCAGGGAAGAAAAACCGGCCUUAGGGCCGCCAGACGGUACCUGACCAAGAAGCCCCGGCUAACUACGUGCCAGCAGCCGCGGUAAUACGUAGGGGGCAAGCGUUAUCCGGAUUUACUGGGUGUAAAGGGAGCGUGGACGGCAGCGCAAGUCUGGAGUGAAAUGCCGGGGCCCAACCCCGGAACUGCUUUGGAAACUGUGCAGCUCGAGUGCAGGAGAGGUAAGCGGAAUUCCUAGUGUAGCGGUGAAAUGCGUAGAUAUUAGGAGGAACACCAGUGGCGAAGGCGGCUUACUGGACUGUAACUGACGUUGAGGCUCGAAAGCGUGGGGAGCAAACAGGAUUAGAUACCCUGGUAGUCCACGCCGUAAACGAUGAUUACUAGGUUG